RNAcentral lists this long non-coding RNA (285 nucleotides) under Lathyrus oleraceus (garden pea). RNAcentral describes it as "Pisum sativum (pea) long non-coding RNA (PSAT_LNC037638)". Lineage: Eukaryota; Viridiplantae; Streptophyta; Magnoliopsida; Fabales; Fabaceae. The record is from RNAcentral.
UGGGGUUUUACCCCAAACUUAGAAUUUCAACACAGCUUAAUAAUAUCAACUUGACUCUGAACAAGGUAAGGAAGUGUUUUGGCCACGGGGUAGAUUUACGGGGUUAAACAAAAAAAUGGAUACAGGCUCAAAUGGGGUUUACAAGGGAUAAAAUUAUUGGGACGACUGGAAAGGCUUAAGGUUAUAUUCAAACAACGUGCCUCAGUGUGUGUAGUCAUGCAAUGAUAGUCCCAGAGAAUCUACACAGAUUUAGAGUGAUAAAGACAUACCAGAAUAUCGCUCAUG